RNAcentral lists this ribosomal RNA (1527 nucleotides) under Streptococcus suis. RNAcentral describes it as "bacterial SSU rRNA". It matches the Rfam family "Bacterial small subunit ribosomal RNA". Lineage: Bacteria; Bacillati; Bacillota; Bacilli; Lactobacillales; Streptococcaceae. The record is from RNAcentral.
UUGAUCAUGGCUCAGGACGAACGCUGGCGGCGUGCCUAAUACAUGCAAGUAGAACGCUGAAGUCUGGUGCUUGCACUAGACGGAUGAGUUGCGAACGGGUGAGUAACGCGUAGGUAACCUGCCUCAUAGCGGGGGAUAACUAUUGGAAACGAUAGCUAAUACCGCAUAACAGUAUUUACCGCAUGGUAGAUAUUUGAAAGGAGCAAUUGCUUCACUAUGAGAUGGACCUGCGUUGUAUUAGCUAGUUGGUGAGGUAACGGCUCACCAAGGCUUCGAUACAUAGCCGACCUGAGAGGGUGAUCGGCCACACUGGGACUGAGACACGGCCCAGACUCCUACGGGAGGCAGCAGUAGGGAAUCUUCGGCAAUGGGGGCAACCCUGACCGAGCAACGCCGCGUGAGUGAAGAAGGUUUUCGGAUCGUAAAGCUCUGUUGUAAGGGAAGAACUGUGAGAAGAGUGGAAAGUUUCUCACUUGACGGUAUCUUACCAGAAAGGGACGGCUAACUACGUGCCAGCAGCCGCGGUAAUACGUAGGUCCCGAGCGUUGUCCGGAUUUAUUGGGCGUAAAGCGAGCGCAGGCGGUUUGAUAAGUCUGAAGUAAAAGGCUGUGGCUUAACCAUAGUACGCUUUGGAAACUGUCAAACUUGAGUGCAGAAGGGGAGAGUGGAAUUCCAUGUGUAGCGGUGAAAUGCGUAGAUAUAUGGAGGAACACCGGUGGCGAAAGCGGCUCUCUGGUCUGUAACUGACGCUGAGGCUCGAAAGCGUGGGGAGCGAACAGGAUUAGAUACCCUGGUAGUCCACGCCGUAAACGAUGAGUGCUAGGUGUUGGGUCCUUUCCGGGACUCAGUGCCGCAGCUAACGCAUUAAGCACUCCGCCUGGGGAGUACGACCGCAAGGUUGAAACUCAAAGGAAUUGACGGGGGCCCGCACAAGCGGUGGAGCAUGUGGUUUAAUUCGAAGCAACGCGAAGAACCUUACCAGGUCUUGACAUCCCGAUGACCGCCCUAGAGAUAGGGUUUCUCUUCGGAGCAUCGGUGACAGGUGGUGCAUGGUUGUCGUCAGCUCGUGUCGUGAGAUGUUGGGUUAAGUCCCGCAACGAGCGCAACCCCUAUUGUUAGUUGCCAUCAUUCAGUUGGGCACUCUAGCGAGACUGCCGGUAAUAAACCGGAGGAAGGUGGGGAUGACGUCAAAUCAUCAUGCCCCUUAUGACCUGGGCUACACACGUGCUACAAUGGCUGGUACAACGAGUCGCAAGUCGGUGACGGCAAGCUAAUCUCUUAAAGCCAGUCUCAGUUCGGAUUGUAGGCUGCAACUCGCCUACAUGAAGUCGGAAUCGCUAGUAAUCGCGGAUCAGCACGCCGCGGUGAAUACGUUCCCGGGCCUUGUACACACCGCCCGUCACACCACGAGAGUUUGUAACACCCGAAGUCGGUGAGGUAACCUUUUAGGAGCCAGCCGCCUAAGGUGGGAUAGAUGAUUGGGGUGAAGUCGUAACAAGGUAGCCGUAUCGGAAGGUGCGGCUCGAU